This is a long non-coding RNA of Equus caballus (horse), 2114 nucleotides long. The record is from Ensembl. Lineage: Eukaryota; Metazoa; Chordata; Mammalia; Perissodactyla; Equidae.
AUUCAGGCUAGGCUUUCUUCUAUCCAGUCUGAACAUGUAACGUUUUAUAUGUUGGCAUUAAGAAUAACUUUGAGAGCAGCCUUGCAGUUCUUUUCAAACCGUUCAGGUCCCCCCUCAACAUAAUCGCCUUGUGAAGUGGGAUAAAUGAAAGAGAAUAGUAAUCGGAGCUCUUCCUUGCCCAGAACUAACGCAGACUCACGAACUCAAGCAGAAAGGGAUUGUAUUGGCAGCGCAUCAGAAAGCUUGAAGAAUCGACAGAAAUACCUAUAAGAAAACCAACAGCAUGAAAAAAUGAAAAACAUAAAGCUACAAGAAAACUUGAUUUGAGGAAACAGCCCAAAGAAGGUCACACGGAUGCCAGCACGUGCCUGCCUGCCUCUGGAGCACAGCACUGGUCCCCACGUCUUCUUCAUCAUCUCUUCUACCAAGAAAAAAAGGGCUGCGAGGACACCUUCUCUGGCCAAUAGCAGAAAACCUGGAAUAAGAGGAGUCGCAUUCACAGACAAUGAGCUUUUUAAGGCAAGUGCAGUGGGAGGACCAGGUUCCCCAGGGUUAUGCCUGCACUGGGGCAUGUCCCGGAUGACAGCACUUAGCCAGGUGGAAGAGGGCCAGCAUUCAACCCGGCGGAGCAAACAUCUACAAGGUUUGUCAAGAUACAAUGCAGGUACUGUACACUUUCUCUUCCUCCCUUCCCUUCCGACUUGCCCAAUCUUUGAAUCAUUGUCAAGUUCUCAAGUGAGGAUCUUGAGAGUCAACCAAAGAAGAGCAGAAACCAGGGAAAAGCAAUCCCCACUCCCCCACGCCCUGUAGGCAACAAAGGACUGACUAUUCUGAAGUUUCAUCUUAAGGAGCCUGCUAACCCCCAGAAGUAUCCAAGACGCGGGUGGGGUUACACUUUAUACCUCUUGCUACUUUGUAAGUGUUUGAACAGAAAGGGACUAUUUGUUCCAGAGGCUUACAAGAUGGUUUUCCUAAAAUAGCUGCACAGACAGGAGGGUGGAGUCUUGGGCGAUGGAAGGAGCCCCCAGAUGCCCCGGUGCAGCUCUCACCUGCUACCCUGCCACACUUGCCUGCUGCCCUGUAGCUCUGCUCUGCAGGUCAGAGGCUGACAUCAAGAAACGAGUCAAUUUUUUGGGAUAGAAUGAGCAAUUGCACAACACUGGAAAUCUGUCCAGUCUAUUCCAAGUUGCCCACACAACGGACACCCCCCAGAUGAAACCUGAUGCUUUGCCCUCUGUUGGGUCCACAGGUACUGCUCAAAGACCACUGGGAGCAAUAGUGACCCAACUUGACUCCAGACACCGCAAUGACCUCCACUACAUUGUCAAAUGGGAAUAUUGAGAGGACGCAUCUCUAUCUUAUCCCGUGAACUUCAACUUUUGACUGUUAAUAAUGAUGUUUGCUGAAGGUUUUUCAGAUUAACGAAUAUCUCUUCUAUUCCUAGUUUGCUUUAGUUGCAUUCCAGAAGUUUUAAAACAUAACCUUUUCAUCAUAUUCAGUUCUAUGUAUUUUUAAAUUUCCAUUAUAUAUUUUCUUUGAUCUAUGAAUUAUUUAAAGUAUGUUUUUCAUUUCCAAAUGUAAGGCUUUUUUUAAUUAAUGUUUUUUGUCAUUGAUUUCUAACAAUUACUUUUGAUAUUUAUUCAUAGAAAAUUCCAUAAUUGUUUAAAAAGAGGCAAUAAUCUCCAACUGCUGAGUGCCACGUUCUCUAUAUGCCAUUUUAUCAAGUUUAUUAAUGUGUUCACGUCUUUUACAUCCUCACUGACUUUUAGCUGCUUAAUCUCUGAAUUGCCAAGAGAAAUGUUAAAAAUCUCCCACUGGCACAGUGGAUCUGUCUAUCUCCCCUCUUAGUGCUGCAAUUGUUUACUUUAUGUAUUUUGAGGAGAUAUAUAUAAAUAAUGUUACAAGUCUAGAAUUGUUAUAUUUGUGUGAAAUUAAGCAUCUUACCAUUGUGUGGUGACCUCUUUAUCACUCAUAAAGCUGUUUGCCUUAAAGUCUGUUUUUUUCUGACAUUAACAUAUUUUUCCAGCUCUCUUUUGACUGCUAUUUGCCUGUUGUGUCUUUUUCCAUCCUUUAACUUUCAAUAUUUCUACAUCCUUAUGUUUGAAAUGUGUCUC